GAUGAACGCUAGCGACAGGCCUAACACAUGCAAGUCGAGGGGUAGCACAGAGAUAGCUUGCUAUUUUGGGUGACGACCGGCGCACGGGUGAGUAACGCGUAUGCAACCUGCCUAUAAGAGGGGGACAGCCUUUCGAAAGAAAGAUUAAUACAGCAUGAUACUGUUGAUCUGCAUGGGUUGAUAGUUAAACUAAUUGGCUUAUAGAUGGGCAUGGGGUUCCAUUAGAUAGUUGGUGAGGUAACGGCUCACCCAGUCAGCGAUGGAUAGGGGUUCUGAGAGGAAGGGCCCCCACACAGGUACUGAGACACGGACCAGACCCCUACGGGAGGCGGCAGUGAGGAAUAUUGGUCAAUGGGCGAGAGCCUGAACCAGCCAAGUCGCGUGAAGGAUGAAGGUCUUAUGGAUUGUAAACUUCUUUUAUAAAGGAAUAAAAAAGAUCACGUGUGGUUUAUUGCAUGUACCUUAUGAAUAAGCAUCGGCUAACUCCGUGCCAGCCGCCGCCGUAAGAC
This 509-nucleotide ribosomal RNA is filed under the name uncultured bacterium. RNAcentral describes it as "bacterial SSU rRNA". It matches the Rfam family "Bacterial small subunit ribosomal RNA", at positions 28 to 526 of the family's 1533-position model. The record is from RNAcentral.